Molecule: ribosomal RNA, 231 nt
Filed under: uncultured bacterium
Lineage: Bacteria
Description: partial 16S ribosomal RNA
Rfam family: Bacterial small subunit ribosomal RNA
Source: RNAcentral
AGUAACGCGUAGGUAACCUGCCUUGUAGCGGGGGAGUAACUAUUGGAAACGAUAGCUAAUACCGCAUAACAAUGGGUGACUCAUGUCAUUUAUUUGAAAGGGGCAAAUGCUCCACUACAAGAUGGACCUGCGUUGUAUUAGCUAGUAGGUGAGGUAACGGCUCACCUAGGCGACGAUACAUAGCCGACCUGAGAGGGUGAUCGGUUACACUGGGACUGAGACACGGCCCAG